Long non-coding RNA from Olea europaea var. sylvestris, 476 nucleotides. RefSeq lists it as uncharacterized. The record is from RefSeq and is a predicted model, not a curated record. The transcript has 3 exons. NCBI's taxonomy places the organism in Eukaryota, Viridiplantae, Streptophyta, Magnoliopsida, Lamiales, Oleaceae.
CUCUAUCUAUAUAUACACACACAUACACAUUUGAUUUCUUGAAUCUUACCAAACAAUAUUAUUCAUUCUGUUUUGAUAUCUUUAUCAUCAAAAUGAGUAGCUACAAUCAGUCUCAAGCAGGCACUACAUAUCCGGAUGAAGGGAAACCAGAGACAGUCAUGGCACCACCACCACCGGCUGGUUAUCCCGUAAAAGAUGAGCAUGAUCAGGACCUCCGCCCCACCACCGAGGAAAGUCAGUCUCGGGGUGAUGGCUUCUGGAGGGGAUGUUGUGCUGCGUUGUGUUGCUGCUGCGCAUUGGAUGCUUGUUUCUAAGGAGUUGGUUCACAUUCAUGAAUCAUAAUUUGUGCUUCAGUUUCAUAUAUUAUUUAUGUCUGGAUUGAUUUGACACUAUUUAUGUAUUAUUGGUGUUGUUCCUUCUAUUUCUUAGUGUUGAUAUUCAUUGGAUAAAGAAGAGUUGCUCCAUAAGUUUUAGAA